GCACGGUCUUGGACAUGCCUCGUCUUCUCCUUCCCUGGUCAAUGCGACGAUCCGUAAUGCCCUGGCCAAAUAAAUAGAUGGACGACCGUUUACAGGAGCGGAUACAGAUCGGGUCUCGAUCGGAACCAAAUAUAGUGUUCUCCUUCUAUUGCUGCCGCCUAUCCAAAUUGGCUGGCCGGGUUCCUAUAUGGCUAUAUCCACGGUAACAAACUUGAC
RNAcentral lists this long non-coding RNA (216 nucleotides) under Hordeum vulgare. RNAcentral describes it as "long non-coding RNA (HVUL_LNC001216)". Lineage: Eukaryota; Viridiplantae; Streptophyta; Magnoliopsida; Poales; Poaceae. The record is from RNAcentral.